This 420-nucleotide long non-coding RNA is filed under the name Cricetulus griseus (Chinese hamster). RNAcentral's name for it is "lncRNA (ENSCGRG00000024332.1)". Lineage: Eukaryota; Metazoa; Chordata; Mammalia; Rodentia; Cricetidae. The record is from RNAcentral.
GUGGAGACACUGCACUCCUCCAGAAAGGCUGAACCAACCCAGAAGAUGGAUGGUAAUAGAAUCUUGGAUAGCAUGAGCCAUGUUCUUCCCAAAACACCUGUGACAACGUUGGUGCCAGGAAGUGUAUACAGACAACUCACAAAAGCAGGAAAAUCACUCAGGAACCUGCGGGUGAACGCCUGGUCGCAACUCGUGGAAUUGCCCCGACACCACAAAGCCUACGUCUAAGACUGCAACUCUAGUCUUGCUUCAGACAAAGCUGUGUUCCCCAUCUGAAAACUGAACUUUCCAUACCAACCCCUUUAUUUUACAUGUAAAGAAACUAAGAGCAAUGCUGGAGAUGCCGGCCAUAUAGUAGUUUUGCCGGCUCAGAAUCCUUUUUCCCUUCUGGCAACAGCUGACUUCGUGGACUGUCAUCUG